RNAcentral lists this ribosomal RNA (253 nucleotides) under uncultured bacterium. RNAcentral describes it as "partial 16S ribosomal RNA". It matches the Rfam family "Bacterial small subunit ribosomal RNA", at positions 524 to 776 of the family's 1533-position model. The record is from RNAcentral.
UACAGAGGGUGCGAGCGUUAAUCGGAAUUACUGGGCGUAAAGCGCACGUAGGUGGCGACGUAAGUCGGGUGUGAAAGCCCCGGGCUCAACCUGGGAAUUGCAUUCGAGACUGCAUUGCUGGAGUCCGGAAGAGGAGAGUGGAAUUCCUGGUGUAGCGGUGAAAUGCGCAGAUAUCAGGAAGAACACCCGUGGCGAAGGCGGCUCUCUGGGACGGUACUGACGCUGAGACGCGAAAGCGUGGGGAGCAAACAGG